RNAcentral lists this ribosomal RNA (511 nucleotides) under uncultured bacterium. RNAcentral's name for it is "bacterial SSU rRNA". It matches the Rfam family "Bacterial small subunit ribosomal RNA", at positions 8 to 518 of the family's 1533-position model. The record is from RNAcentral.
AGAGUUUGAUCAUGGCUCAGGAUGAACGCUGGCGGCGUGCCUAAUACAUGCAAGUGAAACGGGUAUCUUCGGAUACCAGUCGCGGACGGGUGAGUAAUACAUAGGCAACCUGCCUUAUGAGGGGGAUAACCGAGGGAAACUUUGGCUAAUACCGCAUGAAGACUCUAAGGCAUCUUAGAGGGAUAAAAGUUGGGAAACAACGCAUGAAGAUGGGCUUAUGGCGCAUUAGCUAGUUGGUGAGAUAGAAGCCCACCAAGGUAAUGAUGCGUAGCCGACCUGAGAGGGUGAACGGCCACAUUGGGACUGAGACACGGCCCAAACUCCUACGGGAGGCAGCAGUAGGGAAUUUUCGGCAAUGGGGGGAACCCUGACCGAGCAACGCCGCGUGAAGGAAAGAAGGUUUUCGGAUUGUAAACUUCUGUUAUAAGGGAAGAACGGAUUGGAUAGGGAAUGAUCUGAUAGUGACGGUACCUUAUUAGAAAGCCACGGCUAACUACGUGCCAGCAGCUGC